Molecule: ribosomal RNA, 301 nt
Filed under: uncultured bacterium
Lineage: Bacteria
Description: partial 16S ribosomal RNA
Rfam family: Bacterial small subunit ribosomal RNA
Source: RNAcentral
CAGCCGCCGCGGGAAUACGUAGGUGGCAAGCGUUGUCCGGAAUUAUUGGGCGUAAAGCGCGCGCAGGCGGAUAGGUCAGUCUGUCUUAAAAGUUCGGGGCUUAACCCCGUGAUGGGAUGGAAACUGCCAAUCUAGAGUAUCGGAGAGGAAAGUGGAAUUCCUAGUGUAGCGGUGAAAUGCGUAGAUAUUAGGAAGAACACCGGUGGCGAAGGCGGCGACCUGGUCCUUUGCUGACGCUGAGGUGCGAAAGCGUGGGGAGCAAACAGGAUUAGAUACCCCGGUAGUCCCUGUCUCUUAUACA